GCCCUGGUAGUGCAGCGGCCUAGCACUUAGCCCUGUCACGGCUAUAACCCGGGUUCAAAUCCCGGCCAGGGCG
Molecule: transfer RNA, 73 nt
Filed under: Candidatus Woesearchaeota archaeon
Lineage: Archaea; Nanobdellati; Candidatus Woesearchaeota
Description: tRNA-Asp
Rfam family: tRNA
About the family: Transfer RNA (tRNA) molecules are approximately 80 nucleotides in length. Their secondary structure includes four short double-helical elements and three loops (D, anti-codon, and T loops).
Source: RNAcentral